Molecule: ribosomal RNA, 557 nt
Filed under: Fusarium acuminatum
Lineage: Eukaryota; Fungi; Ascomycota; Sordariomycetes; Hypocreales; Nectriaceae
Description: eukaryotic LSU rRNA
Rfam family: 5.8S ribosomal RNA (bases 190-343)
Source: RNAcentral
GGGCUUUACGUCUCCGUUGGUGACCAGCGGAGGGAUCAUUACCGAGUUUACAACUCCCAAACCCCUGUGAACAUACCUUAUGUUGCCUCGGCGGAUCAGCCCGCGCCCCGUAAAAAGGGACGGCCCGCCGCAGGAACCCUAAACUCUGUUUUUAGUGGAACUUCUGAGUAUAAAAAACAAAUAAAUCAAAACUUUCAACAACGGAUCUCUUGGUUCUGGCAUCGAUGAAGAACGCAGCAAAAUGCGAUAAGUAAUGUGAAUUGCAGAAUUCAGUGAAUCAUCGAAUCUUUGAACGCACAUUGCGCCCGCCAGUAUUCUGGCGGGCAUGCCUGUUCGAGCGUCAUUUCAACCCUCAAGCCCAGCUUGGUGUUGGGAGCUGCAGUCCUGCUGCACUCCCCAAAUACAUUGGCGGUCACGUCGAGCUUCCAUAGCGUAGUAAUUUACACAUCGUUACUGGUAAUCGUCGCGGCCACGCCGUUAAACCCCAACUUCUGAAUGUUGACCUCGGAUCAGGUAGGAAUACCCGCUGAACUUAAGCAUAUCAAUAAGCGGAGGAA